Molecule: long non-coding RNA, 4798 nt
Organism: Lagopus leucura (white-tailed ptarmigan)
Lineage: Eukaryota; Metazoa; Chordata; Aves; Galliformes; Phasianidae
Exons: 4
Source: RefSeq, a predicted model, not a curated record
GGUGACUGAACCAGAGUAGUGGUCUUAUGCAGUCAGAAUGGAAAAGGGAGCAUUGCUUUUUGUACGCCAUUGCUACAGUAAAGCGAGCAUAGGGUGGCUGAAGCAGCAGCUCUUGGGCAAAAGCCGCAUUUAAAUAUGAUUGCAGAAGAGGCCGCCGCUCAAACCGCCAGCAAAGCAAAGAGCGCUUACCUAGAACUGGCAGAGCAGCAGCAGCGAGCCGCUUCCAAACCGCAGGCUGGGUCUGGGGUAUUUCCUGCCCUAGAGGCAUAGGACUGGCUCCCCUCGAGCAGAAACAAUAAGAGAACAGCAAAUAGUCUCCUGGGGGACGCAGUAAAGAACGCAGUAAAGAAAAGAACCGGAGCAUUAACUCAGCUACUUGCCUUUUUUUUUUUUAUCGCCCGCAGGCACGAAUUUAAAAAGAAGUUUACUUGCAGAGAGAAAGGCCAUUUCCUUCUCUUUACCAGCCCACAGUAAGACACAUCUUACAGUCAGUUCCUCCCAGAAGCAGCCACCACCAUCCAGGAGCCACCACCAGCACUCAGGUGGACGUCAUUCAAAUGAAGAGGAACUGAGAACUGACAUGGCUGCUGCAGCCACCCCCUCUUGCCCCUGGCUGCGGCGGUGCUGUUGCAGAGAAUAAAGGGACUCUAUGCCACUUAUGGAUCGGGCAGGAAAAGCGGCUGUUUCAGUUGGUUUGCAGGUGUUGCGUGCUGCCAGCAGGCCACAAAGUGUCUGUAAAACAACACGUGGGUGAACCAACACACGCCUUUGUGAAACGAGAAGCAGCAGUUAAUACUGAACAUUAUUAUGUGCCAUCUAGUCUAACGUGGCAACAGAGAAGCAUGUGAGAUUCUUUGGUGUUGCUUUCGCUAUUUGAAGAUUGAUUUAUUCUGCGACGUCUCUGAAAGAAAUAUGUCUGAUAUUGCAUAUAAUUUUCAGUUUUAUCACUCUACUGCUGUCUCAUGUGACAUUCUGGUCUACAGCAGUUAAAGAACACAGUAAUAUUGACUAGCUGCAGAAGCAAUAGUAAAAAUUGUACAUGACAUUAGAGGUACAGAAAUGAAAUGCACACAUCUCAAACCCGUUCGUUUUCUGAAACACACGGUUGGCAUCAGCACAUGUGCAAGAGAUCGCUGGCAUGUCAUCUUGCACUCCAAGCAAAACCCUGGUUACAGAGGAGUUUGUUCACUGUUGCUUUAGAGCUUACAUUAUUCAUCCUGUUGGAAAUCACAGCAGUGUUCCCCUUACAGUCUUACCAGUACAAUUAUAUGAACGCGAGAGUGCAAAAUCUUCUCAGAGGCCUGUUUUUGUAUCUUGGAACACUAAAUGCCUUGGUUACUGUUAUUUAGAGUUAAUGACAACAGCAAAAGUCAGGUGUAAGACUUGGAAGGCCAGCAAGUAUGUUUGCCUUCUAGCAUCUGGCUCACUAAGAAGGGAGUCACUGCUGAAGAUAUUAAAUACAAUAAGUUAGGUCACUGGCUAUGUAGUUACAUAGGAAAAACAGAUGAUAAUGAACCAGAGAGGACAAAAGCAGCAGAAAAUAAUCAGAGAUGGCAGAACUCUACGUUCGACCGAGGAUGAAGCCUCCCAUGUUUUUCAGGAACGGAGUCUUUAAUGAACAUUCUGUUACACUCUGGCUCAAACCGCACGCUUGGAUAGCAGGCCGGCUUCAGAAAGUGCAGGUGGGCAAAUCCCACGCCAGUCACCGUGCCGUGCCACCUGCUAGCUGAGCUGGUCCUCAGUGUAGGAAUUAUCUUCAGAACAGUGAGCCGAUUGCGGGUGAUUCUGUCCUGAUGCUUGGUUCUGGAGGAAAACCUGUGCCCGAGGAACUUCUGCUUUCUCCCAAGAUAUCCUGCUUUGUAAAGAACAGUGUAGCUCAAUUUGUCUACAUUUGAAGUUCAGAAACCAAAAGGGAGGGAGAGGAGAACAUCUUUUAAUAAGGGAAAAUGAAUAACUAAAGAAAGAAUGUAUUUAGGUAUAAUAUGUGAGGAGUAUCUUGCAGUCUGAGCUGUAACAUAAAAAUUACACAAAAUGCAUAAAACACAAAACAAACAAUAACCACCAUUAAAAGUGCAACUGCAGGUCCUGUAACAAACGAUACAGUUUUCUGAAGCUAUCUUCCAGGGUGACGUCUUACCCACAAGAAGGCUUUCGGAAUGGGACCUGCAGAAGACAUCCAUCUGUGAGGUUUUAGAAGAAACUCUGCUGAAGAAACAAGCAACACAUAGCGGCUAAGGCUUUAUUCUCGUGAAUAAAUUAUCAAGCCAGCUGUGGGUAUUCAUUCUUUUAAUCACAGAUUCGUUAGGGUUCAUACACAUUUUAAUCCGCAAUGAAAAUCUCAACGUGCUCUAAGUGCUGCCACAGGUGAAAUUAUAUGUUUUGGCAUCUAGCACCUUGCAUUUUGACAUAGUGAUUACGCUACCUCUGAGGGAAAAUCCAAAAUUUUAUCAUUGAAGUUUAUAAGCGAGCGAUCUCCUCCCAGCUACGUCAUCAGUCCACGUAAUUAUGUUUAUAUAAGAAAUUUGAAUAAAAGAUAGUUUGAUCUUCUAGCCAUAUUACCUCUGGGGCUGGUGGAAAGCUGAGGUCUCGUAGUGCUUACUGUCGCCUCCAGAAGAGAGCUGCCACAUGCAGGUAGCGCAAAAAUUCAGCAGCUACCGCUAUUUCAGUUCAGUUGUUUUUCCUCCUGCUGGUAUCUGUGGUUGCAGAUCAAGGUUCAGGGCCUCAUGAAGCAGGCAGCCGACUCCGCUAAUCCCACUUGAUCCUGCUGCCAGAUCCUCCAGUGCUGGAUCUGAAAGAAAGCUUUUUUUCUGUGCCUGAACUAAUCUAGACAAAGACAAAUACGAAAGCUGCCUAGUGGCUACCAUAUAAACAUACAAAAAGCCUGAUGACCUAAUGUACAAGUAUAACUAAGGAGACAAGAUGCCAAGAAAACAACUGCCAGAAAGUUUCCCUUCGAUGCACUUAUGAUAGAAAUUUCUCAACAGCCUCGAGGAACUCUGUAGAUGAGCUAAGCCCUUCCAAAUCCAGCAGAUUGUUCUUUUUGUCACAGAAGUGGAAUAAUUCAGUCUCUUCCUCUUCAGGUUCCUCUUGAAAUAGGUUUGUCUCUGAGGUAGGAAUGAUAAUGAUUCGAGGGACUGUAUUGCUAACGAUAGAGUCCAAGCCUCCAUUAUUAUGACUUUCUUGAGUUUCCAUCUGCGAGGUGUCUGAGCCUGCUUCUAGGCUGAUGCUGCCGCUGUUCAAACCGACAGGCAGAGAGGCUGCUCGGAGGGAGCUGGUCACGAGCGCUACGGGGGAGCUGAGGAAGACUGACGGCCCCAGAACCUUCUCCAGGCAGCUGGAUGACAGCGAAACCUAGAGCAGAGGGAAAAGCAUCAGUGUCACUGCAAAUCAGUACUUGGAAUAUUCAGUGCCGCUACUCACUACAUCAGACGCUCAUCCUAUUUUCUAAAUGGUUGAAUCACUGACUAGAAAGGAGGAAAAUCACAAUGCGUUACCAUCUACAGCUUGGAAAGCAAAAUGUUAAAUGAAGCAAAAGAAAAUGUGAUCAAACACUGGCAAAGACCGACAAGAAAAGAAAACCCCGGUCCCCCUUUACCUCUCUUUAGCCAGCACACUGCCGUUAUUGCCAGCCAUUCUGCAUAACAUAUUGCGCUGCAAUCUCGUUGCGCAGAGAAAAAAAAAAACACAACAAAAAACAAACAGAGAAGAUGCAUCUGUUUUCACUCAAUUUUUGUGGUUUUGCAAGGAAAAGAAGGAUCAGCCUUUUCUGUGUGUGUUUCUCUGUCAAGCUGGGUGUGAGUUUAAAUACCGACACGUACUGCUGUACCAUGCUCUACUCUACAGGCACUAAUCCUUCACAAAUCUCUGCUGAUAAUGAUUUCUUUCCCUGCUGUACCUUCCCCAGUGCAGAGAAUAACGAUGUGCUAAAAAACAGUGGUUUCAGUAAACCUGACAGAGAAGAAAUUCCUUUUAUUUCAAAUUGAGACUGUGGAAGAAUGAAAGAAUAAUUUAAAAUCCCUCCAGUCUCUGCUGUUUUUAACUGCUUGUGGCUUAGUGGGCAUGACAGCACAUUCACUAGUUUUCCUCUAGACAGGACUUUGCUAGUUGAGCAUUGGGAUGACCAGCGUGGGCUUGGUUGCAACUCCUGCUGGUUACAGAGUGGCAAGGAGUGAAGAGAGAACAGAUCUUGGUGCUUGUUCCUCUGAGCGACAGCCAAUCCCUCGCUGCCCUGCGCUGCCCUGCUGGUGGUGGUCAUAGCGGUGCCUGCAGACACGCAGCUUUCUCCACAGCUGAGGCGCUUGUUCAUGGCGGUGUUUAAAAGACCACCAAACAACAUGUGUACAUUCCCUUUAGCCCUCUUGUGAGAUGACUUCUCCGAGCAGGUGUGAGCCACCUUUCCUCUGUCACAGACAUUUCCGAAGGGCACGCCUGCAGGAGGUCAGAGCUGGCAGCCCUCAUUUCACGCUGCGUAGUUCCCUUGGUACGCACGCUGGGUGCACAGAGCACGCUUGACAACUCUCCUUUGAAACCAAGUGUUCCAAUCUACCUUAUACUUACAACAGAUGCCUGCAUUUCGGUGCUUGCAAAAAGGCCUCCUCACAGCCGUGUUAGGUUUCCCAGUGUCAGCUGACAGGAUGUCUGCUACCAUUCUAAUUGCAAUUAGCCAUGGGGCUGCUUGUAACUUUGUGACAGAAAAGGAUCCCACGUGUUUCUAUGCUUUCUAUGCCCCAGACCUGGAACAGCGAAUAGUGUUUUACUUACGCUUGAGGGAUGUUUUUUCUUUCUUUGUGCUUUUGUU